Molecule: microRNA precursor, 89 nt
Filed under: Oryza sativa (Asian cultivated rice)
Lineage: Eukaryota; Viridiplantae; Streptophyta; Magnoliopsida; Poales; Poaceae
Description: miR5836 stem-loop (osa-MIR5836)
Source: miRBase by way of RNAcentral
UUACGAGGCAUGAGCAGCCGGACCAUGGGAUAUUCAGGCACUCCUGGUGUUUCACAUUCCUAAUGGCCUCUACUGUAGCUGCCAUGUAA